RNAcentral lists this unclassified non-coding RNA (162 nucleotides) under Echeveria heterosepala. RNAcentral describes it as "partial external transcribed spacer". The record is from RNAcentral. Lineage: Eukaryota; Viridiplantae; Streptophyta; Magnoliopsida; Saxifragales; Crassulaceae.
AUGGUCAAAUCGACGGCAUUUUGGUUAGAUCGACGCGUUGGCGUGUGAGUGGCAAAUUGAAUGUUUGUGUUGGCUGGCUCCCUGCUUGCGCAGCGAACGGUUGCCGCAUUCAUAAUUCAGUCGGAUCGGUGAUGUGUUUGUCGGAUUUUUGUGUUGCCAACC